RNAcentral lists this ribosomal RNA (406 nucleotides) under uncultured bacterium. RNAcentral's name for it is "bacterial SSU rRNA". It matches the Rfam family "Bacterial small subunit ribosomal RNA", at positions 355 to 775 of the family's 1533-position model. The record is from RNAcentral.
UAGGGAAUAUUGCGCAAUGGACGAAAGUCUGACGCAGCGACGCCGCGUGAGUGACGAAGGCCUUCGGGUCGUAAAGCUCUGUUGUACGGGAAGAAAAAAAUGACGGUACCGUAUAAGAAAGGAUCGGCUAACUUCGUGCCAGCAGCCGCGGUAAUACGAGGGAUCCUAGCGUUGUUCGGAAUCAUUGGGCGUAAAGGGUGCGUAGGUGGCCAUACAAGUCAGUUGUGAAAGCCCCGGGCUUAACCCGGGAAGUGCUUCUGAGACUGUUUGGCUUGAGUACUAGAGAGGUGAGUAGAAUUCCAGGUGUAGUGGUGAAAUACGUAGAUAUCUGGAGGAAUACCGGUGGCGAAGGCGGCUCACUGGCUAAGUACUGACACUGAAGCACGAAAGCGUGGGGAUCAAACAG